UCAGGACCAGUGACCCGCGAUUCUUUAUCUUCUAGUGCACUGACGAGUGUUUCAGGAGUUAUAUAUUCGAAGAAGAAUCGUUCGUCACUAAAUCCACUAGUGUGUUGGACAUUCAGUUCAUUUAAGUCAUCAUGCGCAUGGAAUGACAAGGAAAAAUUAUGAUUUAUCUCCUCCAGUGACUGGUUUACCCCUGUGGGGGUUUGUGCCCGGACCAAUCCUGACCUCCUCAGGUUACUCCAGAGGACUCGCGGAUUACUACUAGAGCUAUGCGGAAGCGUUCAAGGUCUUCUGAUUUCCUGAUACGGUUCCCAGAAAGAUAGACCAAUCACAUUGCUCCAGGCGUGUCCGGAAGUGUUCGUCAUCCCAGUUUGAGAGGUCUCGAUGAGUGAUCAUGCGGGGUAAGAUCUUAGGGGGUUUAAUCCUUAGAACCACCCAAAUUAGAUCAUGAGCAGACAGGAAAGGAACCGGACACUGCCCAUGGGAGAUGACCUUGGAUGGGCUGUCAACGAUA
Molecule: long non-coding RNA, 511 nt
Organism: Cephus cinctus (wheat stem sawfly)
Lineage: Eukaryota; Metazoa; Arthropoda; Insecta; Hymenoptera; Cephidae
Exons: 3
Source: RefSeq, a predicted model, not a curated record